CAUUUGGUUCCUCGCAAUGGUGUCUGGUGUAUCAGGUCAGGUUCGGAAGAAAGCAGCCAGCGUCAGAAAUUCCGUGUGCCGAGAUCAAGCUGGG
Molecule: signal recognition particle RNA, 94 nt
Filed under: Cricetibacter osteomyelitidis
Lineage: Bacteria; Pseudomonadati; Pseudomonadota; Gammaproteobacteria; Pasteurellales; Pasteurellaceae
Description: Bacterial small signal recognition particle RNA
Rfam family: Bacterial small signal recognition particle RNA
About the family: The signal recognition particle (SRP) is a universally conserved ribonucleoprotein involved in the co-translational targeting of proteins to membranes. Archaeal SRP consists of a 7S RNA and homologues of the eukaryotic SRP19 and SRP54 proteins.
Source: RNAcentral